RNAcentral lists this long non-coding RNA (511 nucleotides) under Mytilus galloprovincialis (Mediterranean mussel). The record is from RNAcentral. Lineage: Eukaryota; Metazoa; Mollusca; Bivalvia; Mytilida; Mytilidae.
UGAUAUAUAACUAUGCGUAUGCCUUAUUUUAGUAUUGGUAUUGUCAUCUGAUUUAAAGUCAUGCCGAUUAUAACAUGCAUAAGGUGCACAGUUUUCUCUGCUUUCAAAAUCUUUCUGUUUGAACCCGUCGACCUGGAACCUUAGUAAUAUUAAAAAUUUGGAAAACAAAAGGGCCUGGAAUGGAGUAUUUUUUACUCAACAGUAUACAGCAAAAUUCUAAAUACACUGUUUGGUGGUGCGCCUGUCAGAUGCGGAACGUACAGAUAAGGUAAUAGGUAACAGGUGAAUAUACUAUUGGUAUCGGUGUCGGACUCGAUCCGGAACUUCUUAAUUAUUGGCAAUAUUAAUUACGUGGAAAACAAAUGGGCCUAGAGUGGUGUAAUUUUUAAUCAACACCAUUGUACUAUAUUAGUUAUAUAUAAAGUUGAAUUCUUUGAUUCAUCGUUUUUACGUGAUGACGGCUGACAAAUUGGACCUCGUAAUUUUAGUAUUAUAGAUACUGAAAGCGUCA